RNAcentral lists this ribosomal RNA (439 nucleotides) under uncultured bacterium. RNAcentral's name for it is "partial 16S ribosomal RNA". It matches the Rfam family "Bacterial small subunit ribosomal RNA", at positions 339 to 795 of the family's 1533-position model. The record is from RNAcentral.
CUACGGGUUGCUCCAGUGGGGAAUAUUGCACAAUGGGGGAAACCCUGAUGCAGCAACGCCGCGUGGAGGAUGACACAUUUCGGUGCGUAAACUCCUUUUAUAUAUCAAGAUAAUGACGGUAGUAUAUGAAUAAGCACCGGCUAACUCCGUGCCAGCAGCCGCGGUAAUACGGGGGGUGCAAGCGUUACUCGGAAUCACUGGGCGUAAAGAGCAUGUAGGCUGGUAGAAAAGUUGGAAGUGAAAUCCUAUGGCUUAACCAUAGAACUGCUUCCAAAACUCUCUACCUAGAAUGUGGGAGAGGUAGAUGGAAUUUCUGGUGUAGGGGUAAAAUCCGUAGAGAUCAGAAGGAAUACCGAUUGCGAAGGCGAUCUACUGGAACACUAUUGACGCUGAGAUGCGAAAGCGUGGGGAGCAAACAGGAUUAGAUACCCGGGUAGUC